RNAcentral lists this ribosomal RNA (483 nucleotides) under Veillonella atypica. RNAcentral describes it as "bacterial SSU rRNA". It matches the Rfam family "Bacterial small subunit ribosomal RNA", at positions 28 to 480 of the family's 1533-position model. The record is from RNAcentral. Lineage: Bacteria; Bacillati; Bacillota; Negativicutes; Veillonellales; Veillonellaceae.
GACGAACGCUGGCGGCGUGCUUAACACAUGCAAGUCGAACGAAGAGCGAUGGAAGCUUGCUUCUAUCAAUCUUAGUGGCGAACGGGUGAGUAACGCGUAAUCAACCUGCCCUUCAGAGGGGGACAACAGUUGGAAACGACUGCUAAUACCGCAUACGAUCCAAUCUCGGCAUCGAGACUGGAUGAAAGGUGGCCUCUAUUUAUAAGCUAUCACUGAAGGAGGGGAUUGCAUCUGAUUAGCUAGUUGGAGGGGUAAAGGCCCACCAAGGCGAUGAUCAGUAGCCGGUCUGAGAGGAUGAACGGCCACAUUGGGACUGAGACACGGCCCAGACUCCUACGGGAGGCAGCAGUGGGGAAUCUUCCGCAAUGGACGAAAGUCUGACGGAGCAACGCCGCGUGAGUGAUGACGGCCUUCGGGUUGUAAAGCUCUGUUAAUCGGGACGAAUGGUUCUUGUGCGAAUAGUGCGAGGAUUUGACGGUACCG